UGGGGAAUAUUGCACAAUGGGCGCAAGCCUGAUGCAGCCAUGCCGCGUGUGUGAAGAAGGCCUUCGGGUUGUAAAGCACUUUCAGCGAGGAGGAAGGUGGUGGACUUAAUACGUUCAUCAAUUGACGUUACUCGCAGAAGAAGCACCGGCUAACUCCGUGCCAGCAGCCGCGGUAAUACGGAGGGUGCAAGCGUUAAUCGGAAUUACUGGGCGUAAAGCGCACGCAGGCGGUUUGUUAAGUCAGAUGUGAAAUCCCCGGGCUCAACCUGGGAACUGCAUUUGAAACUGGCAAGCUAGAGUCUCGUAGAGGGGGGUAGAAUUCCAGGUGUAGCGGUGAAAUGCGUAGAGAUCUGGAGGAAUACCGGUGGCGAAGGCGGCCCCCCUGGACGAAGACUGACGCUCAGGUGCGAAAGCGUGGGGAGCAAACAGAUUAGAUACCCUGGUAGUCCACGCUGU
This 456-nucleotide ribosomal RNA is filed under the name uncultured bacterium. RNAcentral's name for it is "partial 16S ribosomal RNA". It matches the Rfam family "Bacterial small subunit ribosomal RNA", at positions 355 to 803 of the family's 1533-position model. The record is from RNAcentral.